UCCUUUGCGCAGUGGCAGUAUCAUAGCCAAUGAGGUUUAUCCGAGGCAUGAUUAUUGCUAAUCAAUCACAUUUCUUAGUUGCAAGCAACAGUAAACAACUCUGGCUGAUUUCAGCAGCAAGGAUACUUG
This is a small nuclear RNA of Pteropus vampyrus (large flying fox), 129 nucleotides long. Its record names the gene U4. It matches the Rfam family "U4 spliceosomal RNA". From Rfam's summary of the family: U4 small nuclear RNA (U4 snRNA) is a component of the major U2-dependent spliceosome. The structure of U4 snRNA from yeast and human has been reported. The record is from Ensembl. NCBI's taxonomy places the organism in Eukaryota, Metazoa, Chordata, Mammalia, Chiroptera, Pteropodidae.